UACGUAGGGUGCGAGCGUUGUCCGGAAUUAUUGGGCGUAAAGAGCUCGUAGGCGGUGUGUCGCGUCGGCCGUGAAAACCUGCAGCUUAACUGUGGGCUUGCGGUCGAUACGGGCAUCACUGGAGUUCGGCAGGGGAGACUGGAAUUCCUGGUGUAGCGGUGAAAUGCGCAGAUAUCAGGAGGAACACCGGUGGCGAAGGCGGGUCUCUGGGCCGGUACUGACGCUGAUGCGCGAAAGCGUGGGGAGCAAACAGG
RNAcentral lists this ribosomal RNA (254 nucleotides) under uncultured bacterium. RNAcentral describes it as "partial 16S ribosomal RNA". It matches the Rfam family "Bacterial small subunit ribosomal RNA", at positions 524 to 776 of the family's 1533-position model. The record is from RNAcentral.